This 540-nucleotide unclassified non-coding RNA is filed under the name Hevea brasiliensis (rubber tree). Lineage: Eukaryota; Viridiplantae; Streptophyta; Magnoliopsida; Malpighiales; Euphorbiaceae. The record is from RNAcentral.
CUGCCCCCCCCCGCCUCUCUCUUUCUACACCUUCCCUCCCCUCCUUUUUUGGUCUCAAGUCCACCCCUUCAUCCAUCCCAUUAACCACUUCCUCUCUCCGCCGCCGCCUUGCCGCGCGCCAACAAACCCAAAUCCGCGCAGCUGCAGUUGAGACCCUUGACGCCACCGCUGAGACUUCAUUGGUUGAGAAAUCUGUCAAUACAAUUAGAUUUCUCGCUAUUGAUGCUGUUGAGAAGGCCAAUUCAGGUCACCCCGGUCUGCCAAUGGGCUGUGCUCCGAUGGGUCAUAUUUUGUACGAUGAAAUUAUGAGAUAUAACCCGAAGAAUCCUUAUUGGUUCAAUCGCGAUCGCUUCGUCUUGUCUGCUGGCCAUGGCUGUAUGCUCCAGUAUGCUUUGCUCCACCUUGCUGGUUACGAUAGUGUCAAGGAAGGAGACUUGACGAGUUUCCGUCAAUGGGGAAGCAAAACCCCUGGACACCCUGAGAACUUUGAGACACCUGGUGUUGAAGUCACAACUGGUCCCCUUGGACAGGGUAUUGCAA